CACCAGUAGGGUGUGGUGCCCCAGGAGCCCUGUGAAGGAAUCAUUUCCACAAAGCAGAGUUGGCAGCUGCCCGUCAGUACUCCUAACAGAUCCAGUGAUCCCUAAAAGAUAAGAAUUUGAAAUGCACUCAAGUGCCCCAAGAGACGCAACCACUCUGCUCAUACUACACACAGCCUACGACCUUUAAUCACACGUGCGAUGGAUUCAGGACCCAUUUUCAGAGCUUCAUCUCAAAGACCUUCUAUGGGAAACAGAUGGGUUGGAUGAGUAAGGGCUGAGUCAGCCUCACAGAGGCUGAAUCUUUGGUUCCAAGGAGUCUAAAACCCACUAAGCCAUCCCCUCUGGUGAAGAGAUUAUACGCCAGAUGGGAGCAAAACUUGCCCUUUUCUGAUCCAGAGGCCGAAGUGUUCCUCAUUAGAACACUGCUGUGCUUAAUGGAGGCCUAAAAAUCAAAUCCUUCCAAUAUGCUAUUUAAUAUGGCUAAGCACAAGCAAGGGGCAAGCUUGCCCAACUCUUUUCCGAAG
This 524-nucleotide long non-coding RNA is filed under the name Homo sapiens (human). RNAcentral describes it as "HSALNT0099352". Lineage: Eukaryota; Metazoa; Chordata; Mammalia; Primates; Hominidae. The record is from RNAcentral.